Molecule: transfer RNA, 72 nt
Filed under: Goniochloris sculpta
Lineage: Eukaryota; Eustigmatophyceae; Goniochloridales; Goniochloridaceae
Also listed under: 5 other names
Description: tRNA-Asn
Rfam family: tRNA
About the family: Transfer RNA (tRNA) molecules are approximately 80 nucleotides in length. Their secondary structure includes four short double-helical elements and three loops (D, anti-codon, and T loops). Further hydrogen bonds mediate the characteristic L-shaped molecular structure. tRNAs have two regions of fundamental functional importance: the anti-codon, which is responsible for specific mRNA codon recognition, and the 3' end, to which the tRNAs corresponding amino acid is attached (by aminoacyl-tRNA synthetases). tRNAs cope with the degeneracy of the genetic code in two manners: having more than one tRNA (with a specific anti-codon) for a particular amino acid; and 'wobble' base-pairing, i.e. permitting non-standard base-pairing at the 3rd anti-codon position.
Source: RNAcentral
UCCUUAGUAGCUCAGUGGUAGAGCGAUCGGCUGUUAACCGAUUGGUCGCUGGUUCAAGUCCAGCCUGAGGAG